RNAcentral lists this small RNA (28 nucleotides) under Bombyx mori (domestic silkworm). RNAcentral describes it as "ovarian small RNA-17416". The record is from RNAcentral. Lineage: Eukaryota; Metazoa; Arthropoda; Insecta; Lepidoptera; Bombycidae.
GGCCGACGGGUCCGCCAAGCGGCGAGUA